Molecule: long non-coding RNA, 217 nt
Filed under: Ananas comosus (pineapple)
Lineage: Eukaryota; Viridiplantae; Streptophyta; Magnoliopsida; Poales; Bromeliaceae
Description: long non-coding RNA (ACOM_LNC013257)
Source: RNAcentral
GCCAAAACUUCCAAUAACGGAAGGUCACUUGCGACAAUCUAUAGCCCUAGGUCCAAGACCUCACUUUACAUCUGACCAAAAGAUCCAACUGACAAUACGAAGUGAGCUCGACAAUUUUAUCUCCUCAAACUUAAUUCGGUACCAACAGACCACCAACAUACCCACCAUGCAAGUCUAUUACUUGAUGCACAGGAUAGCCAAUCGCACCAUGCGAUAC